RNAcentral lists this ribosomal RNA (317 nucleotides) under uncultured bacterium. RNAcentral's name for it is "bacterial SSU rRNA". It matches the Rfam family "Bacterial small subunit ribosomal RNA", at positions 28 to 334 of the family's 1533-position model. The record is from RNAcentral.
GACGAACGCUGGCGGCGCGCCUAACACAUGCAAGUCGAACGGAGUUACAUUGAAAGCUUGCUGGAUAUGUAACUUAGUGGCGGACGGGUGAGUAACACGUGAGUAAUCUGCCUUCCAGAGGGGAAUAAACGUUUGGAAACGAACGCUAAUACCGCAUAACGUGCGAUCCUCGCAUGGGGACUGUACCAAAGAUUUUAUCGCUGGAAGAUGAGCUCGCGGCCGAUUAGGUAGUUGGUGAGAUAACAGCCCACCAAGCCAACGAUCUGUAGCUGGUCUGAGAGGACGAUCAGCCACACUGGGACUGAGACACGGCCCAG